This 55-nucleotide ribosomal RNA is filed under the name Fusarium asiaticum. Its description in RNAcentral is "partial 28S ribosomal RNA". Lineage: Eukaryota; Fungi; Ascomycota; Sordariomycetes; Hypocreales; Nectriaceae. The record is from RNAcentral.
UUGACCUCGGAUCAGGUAGGAAUACCCGCUGAACUUAAGCAUAUCAAUAAGGCGG